This 352-nucleotide unclassified non-coding RNA is filed under the name soil metagenome. RNAcentral's name for it is "partial contains 5.8S ribosomal RNA, internal transcribed spacer 2, and large subunit ribosomal RNA". The stretch from base 1 to 120 matches the Rfam family "5.8S ribosomal RNA", at positions 35 to 154 of the family's 154-position model. The record is from RNAcentral.
GAUGAAGAACGUAGCGAAAUGCGAUAAGUAAUGUGAAUUGCAGAAUUCAGUGAAUCAUCGAAUCUUUGAACGCACAUUGCGCCCGCCAGUAUUCUGGCGGGCAUGCCUGUUCGAGCGUCAUUACAACCCUCAGGCCCCCGGGCCUGGCGUUGGGAUCGGCGGAAGCCCCCUGCGGGCACAACGCCGUCCCCCAAAUACAGUGGCGGUCCCGCCGCAGCUUCCAUUGCGUAGUAGCUAACACCUCGCAACUGGAGAGCGGCGCGGCCACGCCGUAAAACACCCAACUUCUGAAUGUUGACCUCGAAUCAGGUAGGAAUACCCGCUGAACUUAAGCAUAUCAAUAAGCGGAGGA